UCUUUUUUUCAUAUUUUCUUGGACCCCAUGCAAGUAUCGGUUUGAAUAGCAUAUCAUAAAUUGCGUUGGAGUUGCAGAGGUCGAGGUAGUGACUGACAGACUUCAAAGCUUACUCAAUCUCUCUCUAUUUAUCUUAUGCUUACUCGCAUUUAAGAUAGUUUGGCUUAAUGAUAUCAUUUUGUAUUAGAGACUUGUACUAGAGACAAGACCCAGGAUGUAUCUUUUUUUUAUAAUAACUUUUUGGUGGCUGUUCAGCCUUUUAUUAAAAUUAAUAAAGCAAAAACAAAAUUAUUCUGGCCAUAGGCCCAAUAAACAAAAGAAAAAAACAACAAAAGAAAAGAAGUACAAAUUGUAGAAAAUGAAUUUGGCUUCUGCAGUACACUUUCCAAAAGCAAAUCCGUUUAAUCCCAACUGUAAAACAGAUUUCUUUUUCUUUCCUUGUGGGUUAUCAACAAGCUUGAUUUGAUUAUUGUUGUGGUCAUCCUUCUCACACAAAGAGAAUCACUGCAUUUUCAUGUUUUUGAUCCUCUUAAUCUUGAUAAAUGUUUGAGGAUUAACUAUCUCCAGUGAAAUGGAGGAGGCAGCAUUCCGGAAAUAGCAAUUCUCCCAUCUAAAACAGUGUAUGUUCCAAAAGAGGAGUCUGGCAUAGAGUUUGCACACCUACGGAAAAAAGCUAUGGAUCAGGCAUUUGGGCCUCUCAUCAAGUCCCUUGCAUCACGUCGAUGGUGAAAGUGUUUCUGUGAUUUCAGAGCUGAUCUAGUGUUCAUCUCUUUUGUUGUGUAAGAUUCUUACAGAGCACAUAUGCAAGUUCAUUCUCAAUUCUAGAGGUUACAGUUCUUGCA
Capsicum annuum is the source of this 842-nucleotide long non-coding RNA. RefSeq lists it as uncharacterized. The record is from RefSeq and is a predicted model, not a curated record. The transcript has 2 exons. Lineage: Eukaryota; Viridiplantae; Streptophyta; Magnoliopsida; Solanales; Solanaceae.